This 525-nucleotide ribosomal RNA is filed under the name uncultured bacterium. RNAcentral's name for it is "bacterial SSU rRNA". It matches the Rfam family "Bacterial small subunit ribosomal RNA", at positions 353 to 896 of the family's 1533-position model. The record is from RNAcentral.
AGUGGGGAAUCUUGGACAAUGGGGGAAACCCUGAUCCAGCCAUGCCGCGUGAGUGAUGAAGGCCUUAGGGUUGUAAAGCUCUUUCGCCAGGGAAGAUAAUGACGGUACCUGGAUAAGAAGCCCCGGCUAACUCCGUGCCAGCAGCCGCGGUAAUACGGAGGGGGCUAGCGUUGUUCGGAAUUACUGGGCGUAAAGCGCACGUAGGCGGCUAUCCAAGUUGGGGGUGAAAUCCCUGAGCUUAACCCAGGAACUGCCUUCAAAACUGGAUGGCUAGAGUCCGAGAGAGGUGAGUGGAAUUUCCAGUGUAGAGGUGAAAUUCGUAGAUAUUGGAAAGAACACCAGUGGCGAAGGCGGCUCACUGGCUCGGUACUGACGCUGAGGUGCGACAGCGUGGGGAGCAAACAGGAUUAGAUACCCUGGUAGUCCACGCCGUAAACGAUGGGUGCUAGUUGUCAGGCAGCUUGCUGUUUGGUGACGCAGCUAACGCAUUAAGCACCCCGCCUGGGGAGUACGGUCGCAAGAUUA